UACGAUAAACAUUUUUUUAAAACACAAUCUUCAGGUGGUCAUUUUCUUACUCAUACUGGAGAGAAGCCUUUUAAAUGUAAUGUCCAUCAAAAGAAAUUUGAAAAUAAUUUGAAAUGACAUUAGCUUGUACGUUUUGAAGAAAAACCUUAAUACAAUAACUGUGAAAAGAAUUUCUUCAGGAAAAUGGAUUUGAUACCUCGUGUCGACUCAUACAGGUGAAAAACCGCUUGAAUGUAAUAUGAGCCGGGCACAAGUUACGGAAAGCAAUAGUUAAUACACUGUAUACUAUGACAUUUCAGCCCCUAUUGCGAGAAACAUUUUUUAAAACACAACCUUCACCUUUCUUACUCAUACUGGAGAGAAGCCUUUCAAAUGUAAUGUUCAUCAAAAGAAAUUCGAAAAUAAUUUGAAAUGACAUUCGCUUGUACAUUUUGAAGAAAAACCUUAAUACAAUAACUGUGAAAAGGAUUUCUUCAGGAAAAUGGAUUUGAUACCUCAUGUGUCGACUCAUACAGGUGAAAAACCGCUAGAAUGUAAUAUGAGCGGGGCCAAAUUAUGGAAAGCAAUAGUUAAUUCACUGUAUACUAAGACAUUUCAGCUCCUACUGUGAGAAACAUUUUUUAAAACAAUCUUCACAUGGUCAUUUUCUUACUCAUACUAGAGAGAAGCCUUUUAAAUGUAAUGUUCAUCAAAAGAAAUUUGAAAGGAAUUUGUAAUGUCAUUCGCUUGUACAUUUUGUAGAAAAACCUCAAUACAAUAACUGUAAAAGAAUUUCUUCUGAAAAAUGGAUUUGAUACCUCAUGUGGUGACUCAUACAGGUGAAAAACCGCUUGAUUGUAAUAUGAGUGAAAACAAGUCUAUAUGAUUGGUGACAAACUUUUUCCUAUUAGGUAAUUAUCUCGCAUGUUCACUGACGCUUCUAAUGAAUUAGUAUCCAUUGAUUUCGAUCGUUUCAAGAAAUGUAGUUUGAGAAUUAUUUGUAUGUAAAACUUAUAAAAUAUGAUGAAAAUCAAUUAUAACGUUUUUAAAAACACUUUAA
Molecule: long non-coding RNA, 1039 nt
Organism: Leptinotarsa decemlineata (Colorado potato beetle)
Lineage: Eukaryota; Metazoa; Arthropoda; Insecta; Coleoptera; Chrysomelidae
Source: RefSeq, a predicted model, not a curated record